GUGUCAGCAGCCGCGGUAAUACGAAGGGACCUAGCGUAGUUCGGAAUUACUGGGCUUAAAGAGCUCGUAGGUGGUUAAGAAAGUUGGUGGUGAAAUCCCAAGGCUCAACCUUGGAACUGCCACCAAAACNUUUUGACUAGAGUAUGAUAGAGGAACGUGGAAUUUCUAGUGUAGAGGUGAAAUUCGUAGAUAUUAGAAAGAACACCGAAUGCGAAGGCAACUUUCUGGAUCAUUACUGACACUGAGGAGCGAAAGCAUGGGUAGCGAAGAGGAUUAGAUACCCUCGUAGUCCAUGCCGUAAACGAUGUGUGCUAGACGUUGGAAAUUUAGUUUUCAGUGUCGCAGCAAAAGCGUCAAGCACACCGCCUGGGGUGUACGACCGCAAGGUUAAAACUCAAAUGAAUUGACGGGGACCCGCACAAGUAGUGGAGCAUGUGGUUUAAUUCGAAGAUACGCGCAGAACCUUACCAACACUUGACAUGUUCGUCGCGACUCUAAGAGAUUAGAGUCUUCGGUUCGGCCGGACGAAACACAGGUGCUGCAUGGCUGUCGUCAGCUCGUGUCGUGAGAUGUUGGGUUAAGUCCCGCAACGAGCGCAACCCUUACUUUUAGUUGCCACCAUUUAGUUGAGCACUCUAAAAGAACUGCCAGUGAUAAGCUGGAGGAAGGCGGGGAUGACGUCAAGUCCUCAUGGCCCUUACGUGUUGGGCUACACACGUGCUACAAUGGCACUUACAAUGAGAAGCUAAGAGGCGACUCCAAGCCAAUCUCAAAAAGGUGCCUCAGUUCGGAUUGCACUCUGCAACUCGAGUGCAUGAAGCUGGAAUUACUAGUAAUCGUGGAUCAGCGCGCCACGGUGAAUACGUUCCCGGGUCUUGCACACACUGCCCGUC
Molecule: ribosomal RNA, 893 nt
Filed under: uncultured bacterium
Lineage: Bacteria
Description: bacterial SSU rRNA
Rfam family: Bacterial small subunit ribosomal RNA
Source: RNAcentral